GCUUAAGUAUUUUAAUAAAAAAUGUUGUUUUGUGGGAUCAAUGAUAUGAAAUUUUCAUCUUAAGCC
Molecule: transfer RNA, 66 nt
Filed under: Thanmoia reticulipennis
Lineage: Eukaryota; Metazoa; Arthropoda; Insecta; Orthoptera; Acrididae
Description: Paratoacris reticulipennis tRNA-His
Source: RNAcentral